ACCACCCAGGCUUGGGACUCUCUGUGACAAGUCUGGUUUAAACUGCUCUCUGCUUUAUUCCCACUUCUCUGAAGCUUCCUCAUCCUUCAUACGACUGACCCUGGAGCUGAAGGCCAGGUUUUGCAGUGAUCUGAGUCACUCAGCCCUAAACCAGGUGUGUUCCAAUUUCCUCUACUAUAUGUGCCUCAACCUUCUCUCAGCUCCAGAGAAGACAGGACCACCUUCCAAAGAAGAACUCUCUGCAGUGUCUGAGCUCCUGCAGCAUGGGCUGCCCCAGAUAAGCAGCAGGAGCCCUGAAAGCCUUGCCUUCCUGUCUGAUCGCCAGUACAUGGAGGGAGCUGCUCGCCAGAGACAGUACUGCAUCCUGCUCCUCUUCUACUUGGCCUACAUCCAUGAAGACAGGUUUGUCUCAGAGGCAGAGUUAUUUGAGGCUGUGCAAAGCUUCCUCCUGUCUCUGCAGGACCAGGGCGAGCGCCCCCCACUGGUGGUCUUCAAAGCCUCCAUCUAUCUGCUUGCAAUCUGCCAGGACAAAGACAAUACACUACGUGAGACUAUGGUCAGUGCAAUCAGA
RNAcentral lists this small RNA (571 nucleotides) under Pan troglodytes (chimpanzee). RNAcentral describes it as "processed transcript". Lineage: Eukaryota; Metazoa; Chordata; Mammalia; Primates; Hominidae. The record is from RNAcentral.